RNAcentral lists this ribosomal RNA (482 nucleotides) under uncultured bacterium. RNAcentral's name for it is "partial 16S ribosomal RNA". It matches the Rfam family "Bacterial small subunit ribosomal RNA", at positions 30 to 507 of the family's 1533-position model. The record is from RNAcentral.
AUUGAACGCUGGCGGCAUGCUUUACACAUGCAAGUCGAACGGUAACAGGCCGCAAGGUGCUGACGAGUGGCGAACGGGUGAGUAAUGCAUCGGAACGUGCCCAGUCGUGGGGGAUAACUACUCGAAAGAGUAGCUAAUGCCGCAUACAAUCUAUGGAUGAAAGCGGGGGACCGUAAGGCCUCGCGCGAUUGGAGCGGCCGAUGUCAGAUUAGGUAGUUGGUGGGGUAAAGGCUCACCAAGCCAACGAUCUGUAGCUGGUCUGAGAGGACAACCAGCCACACUGGGACUGAGACACGGCCCAGACUCCUACGGGAGGCAGCAGUGGGGAAUAUUGGACAAUGGGCGCAAGCCUGAUCCAGCAAUGCCGCGUGCAGGAAGAAGGCCUUCGGGUUGUAAACUGCUUUUGUACGGAACGAAACGGCUCUGGUUAAUACCCGGGGCUAAUGACGGUACCGUAAGAAUAAGCACCGGCUAACUACGUG